Molecule: ribosomal RNA, 497 nt
Filed under: uncultured bacterium
Lineage: Bacteria
Description: partial 16S ribosomal RNA
Rfam family: Bacterial small subunit ribosomal RNA
Source: RNAcentral
GAUGAACGCUGGCGGCGUGCCUAAUACAUGCAAGUCGAGCGAACGGACGAGAAGCUUGCUUUUCUGAUGUUAGCGGCGGACGGGUGAGUAACACGUGGAUAACCUACCUAUAAGACUGGGAUAACUUCGGGAAACCGGAUCUAAUACCGGAUAAUAUUUUGAACCGCAUGGUUCAAAAGUGAAAGACGGUCUUGCUGUCACUUAUAGAUGGAUCCGCGCUGCAUUAGCUAGUUGGUAAGGUAACGGCUUACCAAGGCAACGAUGCAUAGCCGACCUGAGAGGGUGAUCGGCCACACUGGAACUGAGACACGGUCCAGACUCCUACGGGAGGCAGCAGUAGGGAAUCUUACGCAAUGGGCGAAAGCCUGACGGAGCAACGCCGCGUGAGUGAUGAAGGUCUUCGGAUCGUAAAACUCUGUUAUUAGGGAAGAACAUAUGUGUAAGUAACUGUGCACAUCUUGACGGUACCUAAUCAGAAAGCCACGGCUAACUACGUG